This 1254-nucleotide long non-coding RNA is filed under the name Junco hyemalis (dark-eyed junco). RNAcentral's name for it is "lncRNA (ENSJHYG00000013181.1)". Lineage: Eukaryota; Metazoa; Chordata; Aves; Passeriformes; Passerellidae. The record is from RNAcentral.
GGGACAGAGGGGACACUGGAGGGGGCAGGGGGCAGUUGGGGAUGAAGGGGACACAGAGGGUGGUGAAUGGGACAGGGGGUCGCAAAGGGCACAGGAGGCAGUGGCAGGAUGGCAGGAAAGGGGAAGGUGACAGAGAGGGAAGAGGACACAAGGGGGAGGGGGCAGAGGGAUAUGGAGGGAACAGCGGGGUGGGGCACGGAGUGUGGCAGAGGGAACAAGAGGCUGACAAAGGGACGGAGGCGACAAAGGGAACCCUCGAUGGCAGGGGGCUACCCCAGGAGGCCGUAAGUGCCACCAGGUCCCUGACACCUCCUCUCUCCCCUCCCCAGCUGUCCCUGGCUCUGCUGCAGCCACAGGUCACUGUGGUGGCCAUCCUGGGCGAGCUGCUGGCCACCCUGCUGAGGCGGGCUGAGAUGACGCUGCUCGUGUCCGCAGUGAGCCUGUACCGGGACCUGGAGGACUUCACUAGGGAGCUCCAGGCCACUCUGUAUCCCAUGGAUGGCACCUGGUGGCGUCCAGAUGUCCCUGUGGAUGAUGAUGACCCUCCCGUCUCCCUCAGCCAGGCCUUGGCUGUCUACAAGAGCACCCCAGUUUCCACCUGGUUUGAUGUGAAAAUGGAGGCCAGCGAGUGGCAGCGGUCAGUGGAUGUGGUUGUGGACAGGAGGGCCCAGCUGGCCAGGAAGGCCACCAAGCUCUGCAACACCUGCAGGGUGAUGGUCACUGAGGCAGGCUACAGAGCUGCCACUGCCACUGCCCGGGCCAGGGAACUGCAGGACGAGGCUGCCCGUUAUGGGACAGCUCAGGAAAACAUGGUGGAGCUGGGUCAGGCCCUGGGCAGGGAGGAGGGGGCCAAGGUGGUGGCCAUGCAUGGAGCUCAGGUGAGGAGAGAGGCCAGGGUGGCUGCCAGAGAGGCAACAAGGGCCACCAUGGUGAGACAGCGGCUGGAGGUGUCCCUGGGGCUGCUGGAGCGCUUGGUGACUGCAUGUGACGAAGCCACUGCGUUCCCCCGGGAGCUGCAGCGCCUGCUCUGGGUCACCAGGGCCAUUCUGAAGGGGACAAAUGAGUUGUAUCCCAGUGUCCCCAAUGCCUUGGUGGCCAAGGUGGCCGUGGCCGAGCAGCUGUGGAAGACCAACACCCGCCUGGCCAAGGAUCACCUGGGGAAGACACUUCCAGCCGUCAUUGAAUUCUUGUUCCCUGGUGGUCUUGACAGCCCCAGUGCCUGUGGGGUGGCCGAGCGGUGCCAAAGAGCCACUG